AGUGAACGCUGGCGGUAGGCCUAACACAUGCAAGUCGAACGGCAGCACAGUAAGAGCUUGCUCUUACGGGUGGCGAGUGGCGGACGUGUGAGGAAUACAUCGUAAUCUACUUUUUCGUGGGGGAUAACGUAGGGAAACUUACGCUAAUACCGCAUACGACCUACGGGUGAAAGCAGGGGAUCUUCUGACCUUGCGCGAUUGGAUGAGCCGAUGUCGGAUUAGCUAGUUGGCGGGGUAAAGGCCCACCAAGGCGACGAUCCGUAGCUGGUCUGAGAGGCUGGUCGGCCGCACUGGAACUGAGACACGGUCCUGACUCCUACGGGAGGCAGCAGUGGGGAAUAUUGGACAAUGGGCGCAAGCCUGAUCCAGCCAGACCGCGUGGGUGAAGAAGGCCUUCGGGUUGUAAAGCCCUUUUGUUGGGAAAGAACAGCAGCAGGUUAAUACCACGCUGUUGUGACGGUACCCAAAGAAUAAGCACCGGCUAACUUCGUG
This 492-nucleotide ribosomal RNA is filed under the name uncultured bacterium. Its description in RNAcentral is "partial 16S ribosomal RNA". It matches the Rfam family "Bacterial small subunit ribosomal RNA", at positions 29 to 507 of the family's 1533-position model. The record is from RNAcentral.